Molecule: unclassified non-coding RNA, 339 nt
Filed under: soil metagenome
Description: partial contains 5.8S ribosomal RNA, internal transcribed spacer 2, and large subunit ribosomal RNA
Rfam family: 5.8S ribosomal RNA (bases 1-120)
Source: RNAcentral
GAUGAAGAACGCAGCGAAAUGCGAUAAGUAGUGUGAAUUGCAGAAUUCCGUGAAUCAUCGAAUCUUUGAACGCACAUUGCACCUCUCGGUAUUCCGGGAGGUAUGCCUGUUCGAGCGUCAUUUGUACCCUCAAGCUCUGCUUGGUGUUGGGUGUUUGUUCCGCCUCUGUGUGUGAACUCGCCUCAAAACAAUUGGCAGCCGGCGUACUUGUUUCGGAGCGCAGCACAUUUUGCGAUCCAGAUCAACGUACAGCGGCAUCCAAGAAGCCUUAUUUAACGCUCUUGACCUCGGAUCAGGUAGGGAUACCCGCUGAACUUAAGCAUAUCAAUAAGCGGAGGA